GCCUGGUUAGAAACUAAGCAAAACAAGGUCGCCUGUCCUUCGGUUAUUAGUUUACAUAGAAAAAGCCUGUGUGACCAAAGUCACCUAGUUCUUGCGAAGCGUUAACAGGAUGGAAUUAGAGAAACGGAAAAAUAGCGCUAAUGGAGGGGAACGAUUCGAAUCCAAGGAGCGGUUAAUCGAAAAGUGAGAGUGGGUCGAGAGGUCAGAAUUAAUCGAGGAGUCGAAGAGUAGAAUUGUUAGAGUUAGCGUUGUCGAGUUGCGUUGUUGAGAAUAGAGUUGUUAGCGUUGCGGAGUUGCGUGAGCCAAGUUAGAGAAAGAUUGUUACUAUUAGUUCCAUAUUAAACAACCAUCGUUUUCUGUCUCAUUAAUAUCUGUAUAACUAAUUUAAAAUAAAAUAAAUAGUAUCAAAGAAAUUGUAUACCAUAAUAUUUCCGCGAUACUACAAAUAUGAUAUUAAAAUUUAAUAUUAAAGUUUAAUAUAUUGCUUAUAGUCCCUUAUUACAAAGUAGUGAUCUUGUUCUGUCAAUGUUUCUGUAGUUAUGUAUUAGAACUGGCAAUUGUAUUAAAAAGUAGGGUUGAACUUUAUUAUAGGGAACUAAAAAUCAUUGUCUUUUUUAUCUGCAAUCUUGUAGUUUUCAAUAUGUGGAAUCCACAAAUACAAGUUUGAAAUUGUGGGAUUCAAUGAUUCAUACCACAUGACUAUGCAAAGCGAAGCAUCUUCAGAGUACUUUACAUUUCUCCUUGGCGCCAAAUAGACUUAUGUCCAUUAUAUCGUCCAAUGAGUUAACCACACAGAUCAGCAUUCAUACUAGUUCGACUUCUGUUUACAGAACACGUAGCGGAUCGUUUCCAUCAACGAUGUCACUAGAAUGAUGUUAUUAUGACGAAAAAAAUGUCGCCAUGAAAAUUCGCACAAUCCUUAUCCUAAUCCCGAUCCUUAGUUGGUUGCGAAUUGAAUUCUAUUCGUUGAGUAUGCGUACGUGUUACAUUGAGUAUAUUACAUUCGCAGAAAAUUAGUUCGUACUAACAUAUUCGGCCGUCUCGCGGCGACCGGGAAAUAAAUACAGGAAAUAUUAGAUAACUGCGAAAAGGUAUAUAAUUUUUUGGACGCAUUGGAAAAAACUGUUACCUACAGGUCUUGAACACUGAUAUUGUUGCAAUGCAUUCUUCACACGAACUUUUACUGAACUAUCUCGAAAUACAACUUAAUGUAACCGAGUUUCUUCAGGGUAUAAAUACAGCUCGGGGGAAAAAGGAGGAUGCACAGACUUGUAGAAAAAUACUUUGAUGAAUGGACAAUUAGAAGUAAUUGCUGGGUACAUGUUCCAAAGAAAGUCCAGCACCUAAAUACCGGUCGCGUCAAGUAGCGAUAGAUUUUACGUUCUUCAAGGUGGAUCUCACCGGUAAUGGGAGAACACUCUAACCUGAACAUACGGAUGAGACCAGGCACUUGCAAUGUUAAUGCUUUUUAUUAUAAAAGGGAAUAAAUAUUUCAAUUCAUAGAUAACUUAUGCACCACUUCAAUUUGCCGAAAACAAAAAAAGAAUAUGAAAAAACAGUAACACUACAGCCUUUUUUUUCAAAAAGUAGUCGAACUAAUCCAGGUUUGCUCUAUAUAAGUAUCCUUGAGUCAUGUCAGAAUGAAAAACCAAAUAUAUACAAAACACAUGUAACCACACAAGUUUGACUCAAUAGGCCAAAAUGAUUAUUAUCCAUAUGCAGUCAGUGAUUUCAGAAACUGUACUCAUUGAAGGAUUCAUAAUCCAAUUUAUUGCCAAAGUAAAGUGUAAAAUAUUACACAAAUUUUACAUAAAUACGAUUUUGUACCACUGGAUCCCAAAACUUUAAACUAGCAUUUUCGAAUUCCCCGUUCCGAAAGCUGACAGAUUGCAAAAAAAGUGAUUAAUUCUUGAUUUUGCCCUAAAGCAGAGUUCAGCCAAAAACGAUAAUAACAUAGAUUCAACAUUCGUCUACACUUUUCAAUUUGGACCCGCAAACGCCAUAAAAGUACUGGUUUAUUUCGCCAUAUCCGGAAGCAAGUAACAUCUUUCUUUUAUUAUUAAUCUUGUGAUUUAGGUUCCAUAUGAAGUAUAAUCUCGAUUAAAACAGCAUACCAAUACUGUUGUGUACAACAGAAAUGCUGAAGCAAAAUCAGGAGAUUUAUGGAGUGACACAUGAUAUAAUAGUACUUCAAGCAAAAAUAAAGUUUAUACUGAUUUAUGCAAAGUGAUGGUAACUGCAUAUGGUCCAUAGGUGUUUAAGUACCGUGAUAUUGGUCAAUUUUUUGAAAAAAUAAGCAAAUAAAAAUAUUCUUAGCAAGUCAACGCUAGGAAAAGAUACAGUUGGAUUUCAAUUGGUGAAGCAAUCGUUGGAUAAAGUCGGAUGUUGCAUAAGUAAACGUGAUGUUAAACAAUAUGAAAUGAAAACAGUCAAAUGUGCACUUGCUGCAAACUAUUGUUCGUAACUAAUUCGAUUUCGUGUAUGUUGAAAGCUGGAAGAAGUUUAAAAUUAUUUCAUUCUAACAUGUUACGUGUAACAUGUAUAACACAGAGCUUGUGUAAAAUAGCCGAGAAAAUGAAACUAUUAUUCCCUUCAAUCAAUAAAUUGUUUCUAUAAAGCAAAUAUUUUUAAAAGUUGCACACAUUGUGCCGGAACUUAUAGAAAAAAACUAUCAAAUGUGCCUAUUAUAUGUGAUCUUACAGGUAACUUCAGCAUCACACGGGGUAUCCAAAAAAUUGUAGUAGAAGCCGCUAAAAGAGAUAAGACUUGUUCAUCCGAAGCCUCGUGUGCAAGAAAAUCGAAUUUGAAUUUCUAUCAAGUAUCGUAUCGAAGAGACCGAGCAUUGAUUGAAUGUGUUCCGUCGUACGCGGCUACUUUGUUCGUAUUUAUGACUUGGCAUGGCCUGAAUUACUACAACAAUAGUAGUACAACAAACUACAACGUAGUUUGAUCCUUAAAAAUAACGACAACAGAACCUGCUGGAACCGGGAGACAGCAAGCAACACGUGUCAGCACUAUGUUUGCUUACGGGCACUAUGUCGAUAUAUUUUAAAGAUAGAGAUAUAAUAGAGCUGCGGGAGGAAAAUUAUGAGAUAAGAAGGGUAGAACAACAGGAGCGAUAUAACACCCGCUCUAGGUCAGGAGCCUCAAUUUUUCUAGCAAGAAUUAGGGCAAUGGAAGAACGUAUAGAGAAAAGGUGCAGAGAAGAAUGGAGUUAUUAUAGGCAGAAUAAUUGGACAAGGAGCUUGUAUUUUUAAGAAGUACGAAAGGAAUAUUGAACACUUUACCAUGCAAAUCUUUAGUGGACAUGGAAUAUUUAACGUAUAUCGUAAGACGAUUAAUAAGGAGAUCCACUCAA
This is a long non-coding RNA of Bombus terrestris (buff-tailed bumblebee), 3358 nucleotides long. RefSeq lists it as uncharacterized. NCBI's taxonomy places the organism in Eukaryota, Metazoa, Arthropoda, Insecta, Hymenoptera, Apidae. The transcript is spliced from 2 exons. The record is from RefSeq and is a predicted model, not a curated record.